AGAGUUAUGAUAGAGGUAAGUGGAAUUUCUAGUGUAGAGGUGAAAUUCGUAGAUAUUAGAAAGAACACCAAUUGCGAAGGCAACUUUCUGGAUCAUUACUGACACUGAGGAACGAAAGCAUGGGUAGCGAAGAGGAUUAGAUACCCUCGUAGUCCAUGCCGUAAACGAUGUGUGCUAGACGUUGGAAAUUUAGUUUUCAGUGUCGCAGCGAAAGCGUUAAGCACACCGCCUGGGGAGUACGACCGCAAGGUUAAAACUCAAAUGAAUUGACGGGGACCCGCACAAGCAGUGGAGCAUGUGGUUUAAUUCGAAGAUACGCGCAGAACCUUACCAACACUUGACAUGUUCGUCGCGAACUUAAGAGAUUAGGUUCUUCAUUUAGUUGGACGAAACACAGGUGCUGCAUGGCUGUCGUCAGCUCGUGUCGUGAGAUGUCGGGUUAAGUCCUUUAACGAGCGAAACCCCUACCGUUAGUUGCCAGCGCGUCAUGGCGGGGACUCUAACGGGACUGCCGGUGUUAAACCGGAGGAAGGUGGGGAUGACGUUAAGUCCUCAUGGCCUUUAUGCCCAGGGCUUCACACGUGCUACAAUGGUGACUACAGAGCGACGCGAUACCGCGAGGUGGAGCAAAUCGCACAAAAGUCAUCUCAGUCCGGAUUGCAGUCUGCAACUCGGCUGCAUGAAGUUGGUAUCGCUAGUAAUCGC
This 705-nucleotide ribosomal RNA is filed under the name uncultured bacterium. RNAcentral describes it as "bacterial SSU rRNA". It matches the Rfam family "Bacterial small subunit ribosomal RNA", at positions 642 to 1345 of the family's 1533-position model. The record is from RNAcentral.